GUACUGGCUUCGGCAGCACAUUCACUAAAAUUGGAAUGAUACAGAGAUCAGCACGCCCCCGUGUAAGGAUCACACACAAAUUCGUCAAGCGCUCUGUAUUUAA
Molecule: small nuclear RNA, 103 nt
Organism: Nycticebus coucang (slow loris)
Lineage: Eukaryota; Metazoa; Chordata; Mammalia; Primates; Lorisidae
Source: RefSeq, a predicted model, not a curated record